GAGUGGCGCACGGGUGAGUAACGCGUAUGCAACCUACCUGUAACAGAGGGAUAGCCCAUAGAAAUCUGGAUUAAUGCCCCAUAGUAUUAUCGAAAGGCAUGGUAUUAUAAUUAAAGCUCAGGCGGUUUUUGAUGAACAUGCGUGUCAUUAGUUUGUUGGUAAGGUAACGGCUCACCAAGACUACGAUGACUAGGGGGUCUGAGAGGAUGAUCCCCCACACUGGUACUGAGACACGGACCAGACUCCUACGGGAGGCAGCAGUAAGGAAUAUUGGGCAAUGGAGGCAACUCUGACCCAGCCAUGCCGCGUGAAGGAUAGGCGGCCUCUGGGUUGUAAACUUCUUUUGUACGGGAAUAACCCUCCGAACGUGUUCGGAGCUGAAGGUACCGUAAGAAUAAGGAUCGGCUAACUCCGUGCCAGCAGCCGCGGUAAUACGGAGGAUCCAAGCGUUAUCCGGAUUUACUGGGUUUAAAGGGUGCGUAGGCGGUUUUUUAAGUCAGCGGUGAAAGUUUUCCGCUUAACGGUAGAAUUGCCAUUGAUACUGUUUUUCUUGAGUAUGGUUGAGGUAGGUGGAAUGUGUUGUGUAGCGGUGAAAUGCAUAGAUAUGACACAGAACGCCGAUUGCGAAGGCAGCUUACUAAGCCAUUACUGACGCUGAGGCACGAAAGCGUGGGGAUCGAACAGGAUUAGAUACCCUGGUAGUCCACGCCGUAAACGAUGAGUGCUAGGUGGGGUAUCGACCCCCUCGGUGCCGCAGCUAACGCAUUAAGCACUCCGCCUGGGGAGUACGGUCGCAAGACUAAAACUCAAAGGAAUUGACGGGGGCCCGCACAAGCGGUGGAGCAUGUGGUUUAAUUCGACGCAACGCGAAGAACCUUACCUGGGCUUAAAUGUAGAGCGACAGAUUGUGAAAGCAGUCCUUCUUCGGACGAUCUACAAGGUGCUGCAUGGUUGUCGUCAGCUCGUGCCGUGAGGUGUCGGGUUAAGUCCCAUAACGAGCGCAACCCUUAUCGUUAGUUGCCAGCGGAUCAUGCCGGGGACUCUAGCGAGACUGCCACCGUAAGGUGUGAGGAAGGUGGGGAUGACGUCAAAUCAGCACGGCCCUUAUGUCCAGGGCUACACACGUGUUACAAUGGCCGAUACAAAGGGCAGCUACUCCGCGAGGAGAUGCUAAUCUCUAAAGUCGGUCCCAGUUCGGAUUGGAGUCUGCAACCCGACUCCAUGAAGUUGGAUUCGCUAGUAAUCGCGCAUCAGCCAUGGCGCGGUGAAUACGUUCCCGGGCCUUGUACACACCGCCCGUCAAACCAUGGGAGCUGGGGGUGCCUGAAGCAGUUGACUUCAAGGAGCGGCCUAGGGUAAAACCAGUGACUGGGGU
RNAcentral lists this ribosomal RNA (1375 nucleotides) under uncultured bacterium. RNAcentral describes it as "16S ribosomal RNA". It matches the Rfam family "Bacterial small subunit ribosomal RNA". The record is from RNAcentral.